This 440-nucleotide ribosomal RNA is filed under the name uncultured bacterium. RNAcentral's name for it is "partial 16S ribosomal RNA". It matches the Rfam family "Bacterial small subunit ribosomal RNA", at positions 338 to 795 of the family's 1533-position model. The record is from RNAcentral.
CCUACGGGCGGCAGCAGUGGGGAAUAUUGCACAAUGGGGGAAACCCUGAUGCAGUGACGCCGCGUGAGUGAAGAAGUAUUUCGGUAUGUAAAGCUCUAUCAGCAGGGAAGAAAAUGACGGUACCUGAUUAAUAAGCCCCGGCUAACUACGUGCCAGCAGCCGCGGUACUACGUAGGGGGCAAGAGUUAUCCGGAUUUACUGGGUGUAAAGGGAGCGUAGACGGCAGCACAAGUCUGGAGUGAAAUGCCGGGGCUUAACCCCGGAACUGCUUUGGAAACUGUGCAGCUAGAGUGAAGGAGAGGUAAGUGGAAUUCCUGGUGUAGCGGUGAAAUGCGUAGAUAUUAGGAGGAACACCAGUGGCGAAGGCGGCUUACUGGACUGUAACUGACGUUGAGGCUCGAAAGCGUGGGUAGCAAACAGGAUUAGAUACCCCGGUAGUC